Molecule: long non-coding RNA, 199 nt
Organism: Calypte anna (Anna's hummingbird)
Lineage: Eukaryota; Metazoa; Chordata; Aves; Apodiformes; Trochilidae
Exons: 2
Source: RefSeq, a predicted model, not a curated record
UCCUUCCGGAGGCUCUGCUUCUGGUGCUGAUGAGAUGGGGCAAGGACAAUCUUGCUGCCCCCACCUUCCUGACGCAGGAGGAAGUGGCCGUGCUGGGUUGAAGGUCCUGGUGGGAAGAUGUCAUUGAGAAAUUGUCCCUGACCUAAUGGGUCCUAGUGCAGAUGGCAGCAUGUGAAUAAAGAUGGAAGAAGCAGCCUAG